RNAcentral lists this ribosomal RNA (465 nucleotides) under uncultured bacterium. RNAcentral describes it as "partial 16S ribosomal RNA". It matches the Rfam family "Bacterial small subunit ribosomal RNA", at positions 339 to 795 of the family's 1533-position model. The record is from RNAcentral.
CUACGGGACGCAGCAGUGGGGAAUAUUGGACAAUGGGGGAAACCCUGAUCCAGCAAUGCCGCGUGUGUGAAGAAGGCCUGCGGGUUGUAAAGCACUUUCGGUUGGGAGGACUGCUUCUAGCACUAAUAUUGUUGGAAGUUGACGUUACCUUCAGAAGAAGCACCGGCUAACUCCGUGCCAGCAGCCGCGGUAAUACGGAGGGUGCCAGCGUUAAUCGGAAUUACUGGGCGUAAAGCGCGCGUAGGCGGCUAGAUCAGUCGGGUGUGAAAGCACCGGGCUUAACCUGGGAACUGCAUCCGAUACUGUCUAGCUUGAGUACAGGAGAGGAGAGUGGAAUUCCAGAUGUAGCGGUGAAAUGCGUAGAUAUGUGGAGGAACACCGAUGGCGAAGGCAGCUCUCUGGCCUGAUACUGACGCUGAGGUGCGAAAGCGUGGGGAGCAAACAGGAUUAGAUACCCGGGUAGUC